AUUGAACGCUGGCGGCAUGCCUUACACAUGCAAGUCGAACGGCAGCGGGGGAGAAGCUUGCUUUUCCUGCCGGCGAGUGGCGAACGGGUGAGUAAUACAUCGGAACGUGCCCUGUAGUGGGGGAUAACUAGUCGAAAGGUUAGCUAAUACCGCAUACGACCUGAGGGUGAAAGUGGGGGACCGCAAGGCCUCAUGCUAUAGGAGCGGCCGAUGUCUGAUUAGAUAGUUGGUGGGGUAAAGGCCUACCAAGGCGACGAUCAGUAGCUGGUCUGAGAGGACGAUCAGCCACACUGGGACUGAGACACGGCCCAGACUCCUACGGGAGGCAGCAGUGGGGAAUUUUGGACAAUGGGCGAAAGCCUGAUCCAGCAAUGCCGCGUGUGUGAAGAAGGCCUUCGGGUUGUAAAGCACUUUUGUCCGGAAAGAAAUGGCUCUGGUUAAUACCUGGGGUCGAUGACGGUACCGGAAGAAUAAGGACCGGCUAACUACGUGCCAGCAGCCGCAGUAA
This 508-nucleotide ribosomal RNA is filed under the name uncultured bacterium. RNAcentral's name for it is "partial 16S ribosomal RNA". It matches the Rfam family "Bacterial small subunit ribosomal RNA", at positions 30 to 523 of the family's 1533-position model. The record is from RNAcentral.